This 685-nucleotide long non-coding RNA is filed under the name Homo sapiens (human). RNAcentral's name for it is "HSALNT0030070". The record is from RNAcentral. Lineage: Eukaryota; Metazoa; Chordata; Mammalia; Primates; Hominidae.
CUUUUACAGAUAUUUGGAUUUUAUUUUGGCAGACAGUUUAGCUACUUUUAGACCAACUUGAUUCUUUUGAGGUUUGUUUUUAGCACAGGUCUGCAGUAGCCUCAGUCUAGCCCUAAUACUUCUGGGGUCUUUUCUGAAUGCCCUGCUUGUUCUGAGAUUUCUACACCACAAUUGAAAGUGAAUUCAAAAAAGCUGGAGAGGAGACGCAUCAGGUCAGAAGGGAUUUGCUGCUCUGAACUGCCAGUUACACUGCACAAAAGUGAUUGCAUCCUUUGAAAGCCUGUUUGCAUAGCAGACAAUGAAGCUGAGCAGAGAAAAACAAGAUGAGAGACAGAUGGAGUAGGAGACCUGAGAAGAUGGCUUGAGUCCAUGAAUUCUGGUGUUCCCUAGGCCACAUUUGCCCCCAUCCUUCCCAGGUGAGAGAACCUUUGUGGGAGCGCAGAAGUCCAGCAGAGAGACCCUAGCACUUUAUUUGGACCAAAAAAUAAAUAAUAAAUAAAUAAAUAAAUAAAUCCAAAACUAGAUGCAUUAAAGAAGGUUAGACUUCUCCUAUGGAGAAUGCAGCAAGAAAAUACCAUCUUGAAGCAGAGAGCAGCGCUCAUCAGGCAUCAGUCCUUCUGGAGCCUUGAUCUUGGACCUCCCAGCUCCAAAAUAAUAAGUAAUAAAUUGUUAUUGCUUAUAAAUU